GGACGAACGCUGGCGGCGUGCCUAAUACAUGCAAGUCGAACGGUCUUUCUAUGGAAGCUUGCUUCCACUGAGAAGAUAGUGGCGAACGGGUGAGUAACACGUGGGUAACCUGCCCAUAAGAGGGGGAUAACAUCCGGAAACGGGUGCUAAUACCGCAUAGUUUUCUUGAUCGCAUGAUCGGGAAAGGAAAGACGGCCUUUGUGCUGUCGCUUAUGGAUGGACCCGCGGCGUAUUAGUUAGUUGGUGAGGUAACGGCUCACCAAGACGAUGAUACGUAGCCGACCUGAGAGGGUGAUCGGCCACAUUGGGACUGAGACACGGCCCAAACUCCUACGGGAGGCGGCAGUAGGGAAUCUUCCGCAAUGGACGAAAGUCUGACGGAGCAACGCCGCGUGAGUGAAGAAAGGUUUUCGGAUCGUAAAACUCUGUUGUCAGAGAAGAAUAAGUUGGAGAGUAACUGCUCCAGCCUUGACGGUAUCUGACCAGAAAGCCACGGCUAACUACGUGCCAGCCGCCGC
RNAcentral lists this ribosomal RNA (518 nucleotides) under uncultured bacterium. Its description in RNAcentral is "bacterial SSU rRNA". It matches the Rfam family "Bacterial small subunit ribosomal RNA", at positions 27 to 518 of the family's 1533-position model. The record is from RNAcentral.